RNAcentral lists this ribosomal RNA (473 nucleotides) under uncultured bacterium. RNAcentral's name for it is "bacterial SSU rRNA". It matches the Rfam family "Bacterial small subunit ribosomal RNA", at positions 21 to 518 of the family's 1533-position model. The record is from RNAcentral.
GGCUCAGAACGAACGCUGGCGGCAUGGAUUAGGCAUGCAAGUCGAACGAAGCAGCAAUGCUUAGUGGCGCAAGGGUGAGGAACACGUGAGUGACCUACCCGCAAGUUUGGAACAGCUCCUGGAAACGGGAAUUAAUACCGGAUGUGAUCGAUGAACUGCAUGGUUUAUUGAUUAAAGCAGUAAUGCGCUUGCGGAUGGGCUCGCGUCCCAUUAGCUAGUUGGUGAGGUAACGGCCCACCAAGGCCAUGAUGGGUAGCUGGUCUGAGAGGACGACCAGCCACACUGGGACUGAGAACUGCCCAGACUCCUACGGGAGGCUGCAGUCGAGAAUUUUGGGCAAUGGACGAAAGUCUGAACCCCCAGCAAUGCCGCGUGCGGGAUGAAGGUCUUCGGAUUGUAAACCGCUGUUUGGAGGGACGAAAAUUGACGGUACUUCCAGAGGAAGCCACGGCUAACUACGUGCCAGCAGCUGC